This 393-nucleotide long non-coding RNA is filed under the name Homo sapiens (human). RNAcentral describes it as "non-protein coding lnc-KLF6-5:5". Lineage: Eukaryota; Metazoa; Chordata; Mammalia; Primates; Hominidae. The record is from RNAcentral.
GUAUGCCUGUGUCACUUUUUUGGCACUCUUUUCUCAUGGGUACAUUCAGAGAAGAGGAAUGUUUGUUCACUGGUGAAGAGAACAUCCCGUGUACUAUCGUGUAGAAGUUGUAGUAGACGCUGUGGUCUUUCCAACAACAAACAAACUGCUGGGACAGGACCCAGGAGGUUCCGGAGGAUCAGGAGGUCCACCUGGGAGAAGAGCUGAUCGGCUAGUAGGAGAGCUGGAAAAGCAACAGACACCUACUUAGUCCCUUCCCUGGGGCCCGGCUCCAGUCUGAGCUGUCACGCCACAGCAAAGGCAUCACUUCAGGACAGCAAAGCCCCUGUCUCCCUCCCUUCCAGCUCCUCAGACUUCACCCUGGUAACACGUUUGUUUAAAAAACAUAUUUUU